UCCGGUUGAUCCCGCCGGACCUGACUGCUAUCGGAUUGAUACUAAGCCAUGCGAGUCAUUGUAGCAAUACAAGGCAUACGGCUCAGUAACGCGUAGUCAACCUAACCUAUGGACGGGAAUAACCUCGGGAAACUGAGAAUAAUGCCCGAUAGAACAUUAUGCCUGGAAUGGUUUAUGUUCCAAAUGAUUUAUCGCCGUAGGAUGGGACUGCGGCCUAUCAGUUUGUUGGUGAGGUAAUGGCCCACCAAGACUAUUACAGGUACGGGCUCUGAGAGGAGUAGCCCGGAGAUGGGUACUGAGACACGGACCCAGGCCCUAUGGGGCGCAGCAGGCGAGAAAACUUUGCAAUGUGCGAAAGCACGACAAGGUUAAUCCGAGUGGUUUCUGCUAAAGGAACCUUUUGUCAGUCCUAGAAACACUGAUGAAUAAGGGGUGGGCAAGUUCUGGUGUCAGCCGCCGCGGUAAAACCAGCACCUCAAGUGGUCAGGAUGAUUAUUGGGCCUAAAGCAUCCGUAGCCGGCUCUGUAAGUUUUCGGUUAAAUCUGUACGCCCAACGUACAGGCUACCGGGAAUACUGCAAAGCUAGGGAGUGGGAGAGGUAGACGGUACUCGGUAGGAAGGGGUAAAAUCCUUUGAUCUAUUGAUGACCACCUGUGGCGAAGGCGGUCUACCAGAACACGUCCGACGGUGAGGGAUGAAAG
This 701-nucleotide ribosomal RNA is filed under the name uncultured archaeon. RNAcentral's name for it is "bacterial SSU rRNA". It matches the Rfam family "Archaeal small subunit ribosomal RNA", at positions 1 to 710 of the family's 1478-position model. The record is from RNAcentral.